RNAcentral lists this transfer RNA (70 nucleotides) under Leptocimbex sp. CSCS-Hym-MC0166. RNAcentral's name for it is "tRNA-Cys". The record is from RNAcentral. Lineage: Eukaryota; Metazoa; Arthropoda; Insecta; Hymenoptera; Cimbicidae.
AAUUUUAUAGUUAAAAAAAAUAACAUUAGAUUGCAAUUCUAAAAUUAUAAAUUAAAAUUCAUUAAAAUUU